AGAUCUUAUAGUCACAUAUUGGUUCUGCUUGUGCAUCACUCCUAAGUAUGUCAUAAUCUUUUUUAAACUAAAGCAAUGAUGUUUUAUUGUUUCUAUAAAGAAAAUUAUAAGUUUUCCGCUUCUUGGCCUUGGAUUUUUCCAUAUGCGUAGUAGGGUCAGAUUAUCAGUCCUUGAUGAUAUUUGCUGUUAUCUCAGGUUCAUUCAGCU
This 207-nucleotide unclassified non-coding RNA is filed under the name Hevea brasiliensis (rubber tree). The record is from RNAcentral. Lineage: Eukaryota; Viridiplantae; Streptophyta; Magnoliopsida; Malpighiales; Euphorbiaceae.